AAAACAGUCCUUUUAAGGACUACCCCACUGACGCUUAAAAUUCAUA
This 46-nucleotide non-coding RNA is filed under the name Cinara cedri. It matches the Rfam family "Histone 3' UTR stem-loop". From Rfam's summary of the family: The mRNAs of metazoan histone genes lack a poly-A tail. Lineage: Eukaryota; Metazoa; Arthropoda; Insecta; Hemiptera; Aphididae. The record is from RNAcentral.